Molecule: unclassified non-coding RNA, 2242 nt
Filed under: Hevea brasiliensis (rubber tree)
Lineage: Eukaryota; Viridiplantae; Streptophyta; Magnoliopsida; Malpighiales; Euphorbiaceae
Source: RNAcentral
CUCUACACCAGUACUGCAGUAUUCAAAUCAAUUUCUUGAUCCUGCAGAGACCAAAAAAAAAAGGGCUGAAACGAGAGCUUAGUUUGCACCAAUUCAUCACUGUUUAUUAAUUAUGGGGGAAAAGAAGCCUUAUUUAGCGGUGAUCUUGGUACAGUCAAUCUAUGCUGGAAUGUUCUUAGUCUCAAAAGCAGCCUUCAAUGUUGGUAUGAACAAUUUUGUCUUCGUAUUUUACAGACAGACUGCUGCAACUCUUUUCUUGGCUCCUCUUGCACUCUUCUUAGAAUGGUAUUACUAUUAACUUUCGUCUUGAUUUUCUAGAUUCUUUUUUUUUCCUUUUUAUAUUGUUUCAUCUUCUAUUAUGAUCAUCAUUCUGAUACAAAUUUAAAGGAAAAAUCGGCCGCCUCUAUCAUUCGUGACCUUUUGCAAGAUUUUUCUGCUAUCUUUAUGUGGGUAUGUGUAUAUAUACAGUUAAUGAUUCGAUUUCUCCUAUUCAUAUCUUUGAAUUGCUUUCACUGUUUCUUCCACUGAUAAAGAAAUCCAUGGAAAUUAAAACCUAAUAUUCUUCUUUUAGGAUUACUUUGAGUUUGGAUAUCUAUGGAAUCGCACUUGUUUACACUUCUGCAACUUUGGCUGCUGCAACUACAAAUUGCCUUCCCGUCAUUACUUUCUUCCUGGCCCUUUUGCUCAGGUAUUGCAAAGCUUAUAGGCAUAAUAGCAUGUAUGGCUGGAGCUGCAACUCUUGCAUUUUUUAAAGGCCCCCACUUUAAACUCUUGUGCAAUCAUCAAAUUUUUGGAUCCUAUCACAGCCAAGAGCUUGUGGGGCAUGUUUCUUCUGGGAAAACAUGGAUAAAGGGUUGUUUCCUUAUGCUCAUGUCCAACAUCUUUUGGGGCUUGUGGCUUGUUUUGCAGGUAAUCUACUAUUGCUAAAUAAACUCUGUAAUGCAUUUAGAGCUCAUUUAUUUAUUUUUGCCACUAAGUUCAUGGAAAAAAUUUUCAUUUUUAGUGUUGAAUAAGGUUCAUCUUCUAGGAGGAAACUUGUCCAAGUCAUAUACGAAUCUUUUUUGAGUAAUAUUCGAUCGAUGUAGGACAACGCACCCCCUCAUGCCCAGGACUGGAUAUCUAGAUUAAAGUUUGUAGGACUAAAUAGCUAUAGUUGAUCCAACACUAAAACAAGGAUAGGCUUUGAUACCAUGUUGAGUAAAAUUGACUGAACCUAACUCUAUCUCAAAAGACACUUUGUUAGGUAGAGGUAUAUCCAAAUCAUAUAUAAAGCUCUUUUGAGCAAUACUUGGUUGAUGUGGGGCAACAUUUAGUGUGUUAAAAAUUAGUGAAAGUCCAACAUCAUUCAUAUGUAUUUGUUAUUAGCUUUACAGAAAAUGCCGACUAGGUUGAAUUUGAGUUAGUCCAGUCCAAUUAAACUAAUAUUUUGAGCACUCCUUAACUCAACCCCCAUUACUGAGUCUAUAAUUGGAUCUUUUUAUCUUAGAUCUUAUUUGUAUAGAAAAGAAUAUUUGCUUCAAAGAUUAGUAUAUAUGCAGGCAGGAGUUUUGAAAAGUUAUCCGUCAAAGCUUCUCUUCACCACACUUCAGUGCUUUUUAAGCUCAAUCCAAUCAUUUGUCAUUGCCAUUGCUUUAGUAAGAGAUCCUCAUGAGUGGAUGCUUGGUUGGAAUGUCAGACUUUUAGCUAUAGUUUAUUGUGGAAUUAUGGUGACGGGAGUUACAUUUUAUGUGCAAGCAUGGGUUAUAGAGAAGAAAGGGCCAGUGUUCUUGGCCAUGUCCACACCAUUAAAUUUGAUCUUUACAACGUUUUGUUCUGCACUUCUCCUAUGUGAAAUCAUCAGUUUGGGAAGCGUUAUGGGUGGGGUAUUAUUGGUUGGAGGCCUCUACAGUGUCUUAUGGGGGAAAAGCAAAGAAGAGAAAAUGAAAGAUAAAAUUUGCAUAAUAGGGGAUGCUGAGCAGAAAGAAUGCUCAGAGUUGAAACAAGUCAUUCCAGUGGCAAUUAAGGGACAAUUGCCUGUGUAAUUUGAUUGCUACCAUCAUUGUCUCGCAAGUGGAAUGCAUUGAACCUUUUCUUGCCUUUAUUAGAAGGAAAAAGAAAGAGAUUAUAAAUGAAGUGAGGUGAGGUUUUAUGGUUGCCAACAGAAAAGUAAUGCUUCAGAUUUUUUAUAAUGUACACUUUAACUUUUAUUAUUUCUUUGAUUUGUUAACGAUGUUAUACUUUAGUCUUUAAUUAUAACAUUACA